GAUCAUGGCUCAGGACGAACGCUGGCGGCGUGCCUAAUACAUGCAAGUCGAGCGAAGUUUUUCUGGUGCUUGCACUAGAAAAACUUAGCGGCGAACGGGUGAGUAACACGUAAAGAACCUGCCUCAUAGACUGGGACAACUAUUGGAAACGAUAGCUAAUACCGGAUAACAGCAUUAACUGCAUGGUUGAUGUUUGAAGGUUGGUUAUGCUAACACUAUGAGAUGGCUUUGCGGUG
RNAcentral lists this ribosomal RNA (236 nucleotides) under uncultured bacterium. RNAcentral describes it as "partial 16S ribosomal RNA". It matches the Rfam family "Bacterial small subunit ribosomal RNA", at positions 15 to 238 of the family's 1533-position model. The record is from RNAcentral.